AACUUUCAGCAACGGAUCUCUUGGCUCUCGCAUCGAUGAAGAACGCAGCGAAAUGCGAUAAGUAAUGUGAAUUGCAGAAUUCAGUGAAUCAUCGAAUCUUUGAACGCACCUUGCGCUCCUUGGUAUUCCGAGGAGCAUGCCUGUUUGAGUGCCAUU
RNAcentral lists this ribosomal RNA (156 nucleotides) under Cortinarius assiduus. RNAcentral's name for it is "5.8S ribosomal RNA". It matches the Rfam family "5.8S ribosomal RNA". From Rfam's summary of the family: 5.8S ribosomal RNA (5.8S rRNA) is a component of the large subunit of the eukaryotic ribosome. It is transcribed by RNA polymerase I as part of the 45S precursor that also contains 18S and 28S rRNA. Lineage: Eukaryota; Fungi; Basidiomycota; Agaricomycetes; Agaricales; Cortinariaceae. The record is from RNAcentral.